This 257-nucleotide ribosomal RNA is filed under the name uncultured bacterium. RNAcentral describes it as "partial 16S ribosomal RNA". It matches the Rfam family "Bacterial small subunit ribosomal RNA", at positions 524 to 778 of the family's 1533-position model. The record is from RNAcentral.
GACGUAGGGGCCGAGCGUUGUCCGGAGUUACUGGGCGUAAAGGGCGCGCAGGCGGUUGGUCACAUCGGCGGUGAAAGCCCCCCGCUCAACGGGGGAGGGUCCGUCGAGAUGGGCCGACUGGAGGCAGGGAGAGGGCGGUGGAAUUCCGGGUGUAGUGGUGAAAUGCGUAGAGAUCGGGAGGAAGGCCGGUGGCGAAGGCGGCGCUCGUGGAACAUUUCUGGACGCUGAGGCUCGAAAGCGUGGGGAGCAAACAGGGA